CUUUAUUUUUUUCAGUUUAAAGAAUUAUUAUUAACUGUUCAGCCCUUUUACAAUCAAUAAACAAACUUCAUUAUAAAACUUGUAUAAUUUUGUAGCUUUUAUUGGUCUUUCCGACUCUAAGAGGUCUUAUUUCUUGGGCACCUACGUGGUACCUUGUACAGGGCUUCAUAAAGUCUUCUGUUUUGUUGUUUGAACAAAUGCUUUGAAAGAAAAAGAAAAAAAAAACCUUUUUGUAUGUCAGGGAUUGGAAGCUAGCAGGGGUGGGGGAAUAGGAGAUAAGACUAACAUCCGUUUUAGGGCUUUGCGGUUUCGCCAGAGGAGGGGUAAAAUUGAGCCCUUUUAUAGUCGAGUACAUCCUGCACCAUUGGCUGUCUCGUAGCCCAAAAGAAGGUGAACUGAAGUUCAGUUUCCAAGGGGUACUUCAUUGUAUCGGCUACUCUGAAAUGUUUCCAUGCCUAGUACUCAGGACAGGGAGCAAUGGACUUUGCAUUGUCUUGCUCGCCAGCAAGCAAGUGGAUCGAGUUGGUGUAAUAUAACCUGUCCCAUCCAGGCAGAUAAGUGAUUCACUCCUAAUUCCCAGUUCAAACCCUUGUGGUCCGCCCUUCGUUCAUCUUCCUCCACUUUCCUCCUCUUCCUCAGACUCUCCCAAGGAGCUCCGUCCUAUGAGGCAUGAUGUGUGGAAUUCUUUACCACUCUACGGAGUGAUUAAUAUCAGCCGUGUUCUCUGCUUUCCGUGAACCUGCAAAAACAAGAGGAAAAUGGAGACAGAAAGACUGGAUAAGCUGUUCAAGAUCCCCUGGUUUAGAAGUAUGAGUGUUGCCUCAAACCCAAGUCUUCCGGCCCCACACUCCUUGGUCUUACCUCUCUACCACGCGCCUACUCAGAACGACAACUCAAAACAGAGGAAAUAAGCAAUGUGUCAGUCCUGUUUCACAGAAGCCACCAAAUAACAGCAGGCUUUUACAACUCCAGAAAGGCUGGGAAUCAGACUCCCGCUGCACAUGUGUCCUUCUGUUCGCUAUUUCUAUUUCCAAGUCUUGCGCUUCUUCCAAAGUGUGUAAAGUCACUGGAAGUGCGUUGAAGAGAUGCAAACCAGGAAGUGUUCACGUGAUAAAACAGGCUCAGAGACAACUCUCUGGCAAGGGGAAACCAAGAGCGAGAAAACUGACCACCAGAGGAAGGUAAGUGGAAACAUGGAAGGGAUAAUUCAGCCUGCUUUCCUGAGUGAUUAAGGCAGAAAUAAGCCAGGUACUCAUCUACGUCGGCUCAUUGCUUUGUCUGAGCUUCUCUUUUCUAUUAUAUAUACUUUCAAAGGGCUCUUGAUAAUUCAAGGGAUAAACAAAACAAAACAAAACAAAAACAAGCAAAGGAACGAUUGUUUCCGUUUCUUUUUACCCAGAGAUUCCCAGCCAUAACAACUCCAAUCACCUUGACUUUGGCUUUCCAGAUUGCUGCAGACAAUUCAAGUUUAAAAACUUCUAGCUGGACUAUUUCCAUUCAUACCGUAUCUCUCAGUUUGCCCGUAGAAUUUGGUACAACUUACGACUUUAGAAUUACUGUAUAAUGCUCAGAGGUGUGAAACACCAUUUCGAGUAAUGCCUUUCUUCAGUUAAUAUAGAUAAAUAUUGAUGGCAGGCAGCAGUAAAACAAGUCAUUAAAUUCUUCAGUGCAAGUGUGUCCCACACAUUGCUGGAAGCUACAGAAAUCGCACCAGGCUCUGAGAAAACCGCUGCAUCUGAUUAGAGAGUGCUCACAUACACCCCUGGCUUGCUCCUUCCAAACUGGAAAACAAGGGAGCGCGGGUGAGGCAGGAGAGAGCGCGGGGUGGGGUUGGACUUCCACUGCAGGUCUAUUCUGUCCACCCUUUCUUCUUGCUACCACCCUAAGGAAUUCCUGGGUGAGCCAGAAACCUUUGAAAAAUGGCAAUCGGUGGCAAAUGGGAGCUCUGGUGCCCUGAAAACAAAGCAACUUUAAACCUAAACCAGUAACCCUAUAAAAGCAGCUAAAGAUUUGGAGGGGCAGUACCCCCUCUCCUCCACUGCUGUUUCAAUUAUUUGACUUCAGAGUCUUUGUGGCGAUGCGGAACUUGGCCUGGGUCACUUGGAUGUGUGGGGGUGGGCGGCUGGCUUCGGGGCCCAGAUAACCCGUCUGUUGCUUGAUUCCCUGGGAUGAAAAAUGAAGGAACUGCUUCCUCAUUUUGUAACGCCACCCUUAAGGAUUGCAGCCCGGUAUAGAUUUUGAAGCGCCACGGUGUGGGGUAUCCUUUCUUCAAGGUGUUUUUAAUGGGCUCCGGGUUGUCAAAGACACCGCUCUGAUAAUGAGGCUGAGCCCCGUGUGAGGAGAGAGCUCUGUAAUGAGGGAGGAGGACAAUUUGUUACAGUUAUGUGGUUACUUGGCCAUAAUAUCUUUUUGAGGUUUAUUAAAUCAUAUAAAAUUUCAAUUUACACUGUAAUAUUCUAUAAAAGAUGGAGCACACAGAAGUAAUAAGUAUGACAACAUUUCUUUCAUUUAUGAAUCGUAUUGUUGAUUGUGUUAACACUGCCGCAUCCAGCAGCAGGAUUAUUUAUGUUGGGACAGUAAUUUUCUAUCUCCAAUUUAAUUGUGUAAAAGUUAAUUACAAACUAGAAUAAAAUGAAUGCAGUUAUGGAAGGCAGGGAAAUGCUGAGAUAGGGUGUUAUUGGGGGAAAAUAUUUACUCAGGCUCUUCCUCGUGGAGAUAGUUGUUAGGGGAACCCAGGGGCUAAGGUGGCUUUUGUUGCAUGAAGAGAGGCCCUUGGUUUUAUCUACUAGGAAAUGAACUGUUCGGUAGCUUCCUAUGUUCCCUAUGUUCUCGGUGUUCCCUGUGUUCUCAGUGACCAUUCUAGAAGCCCCUUCCUUUCCCAGUGCAGCGGCUGGGACCCAGACAGGUUACAAAACCUGCCCCAGUCACCCUGCAAGGUCGGGACAGAGUGAAGACUAGAAUUCAGGUCUCAUGAUACCAGGUCAGAUGACUUGCACUUAAAUGUGGGUGUAUAUUCGUUUCUGCCUUAAAGAGUCAGGGAGGGGGUUUAGAAGAGGCAGAUAUUUUCUCCAAAUUUCACCACAAGGCGAUCUGUGCCAGGGGAGAAGGCAAAUUGCAAUGUAAGUAUUCUCCAGUCGGGGACGCUCGCUUUCCCUCUCCCGUUGAACUCUUUUUCCACGUUGCCAUUGGUAACAACCAAAUUCCUCCGGGAGACUUCCUACCAAAGCAGAAAAGCCAGGUACAACCCUGCAAGGGUGGCUCCAGCCAGCCCUGACCCCCAAGAGUGAGAGGAGCACAGGGAAAGAGACUGGAAGCAAAAGUGAGAGAAGCCUCAGGCCUCGGCCUAGGAAACCCCGGGCCUUCAUUGACUUCCCCUGUCACUUCUCCACAUGCGCUGUCCCCUGCUCCCCUGGCCUUGCCCAAGAGCCUUUGUGCCUCUCGCUGAGAAGGCGGGUGAGCUCAAUGACACCCACUGAUUUCCCGCCACAUUCGCUCCCCUUUCUCCAGACAGAUGAUCUCUUCCCCUUCCCGUCCUCACCACCGCACUUGAACCAUUUCGGGGCCCGUUGAAAUAUCAAGAUUGACUUGCUAGGUGAAAGACUUUUAUAUUUAGUUUUUAAUAGAGCAAAAGUGACUCUAAAUUUGUUAAUAUUCUUUAGGUUACAUAGGACAAAUUACAGAUAAGUGAAUCAGUAAUGAAAUUUGUAAUGAGAAUUUCUCAAGUAUGAAAUGUUGGCGCAAGGAAAGUUAAUUGCGGGGUUUUACAGCCAUUAUAGUUUAUAUCAUAAAUGCAAAAAUGACUAGGGCCAUUUAAUUACAGUAGGAACACACUAAAUUUUUAUGGAGUGCCAUUUUGUUAAAGAGGUGCUCGGAGCAUUAAGAGCAAAUACCAUUCUAACAGUGGGUCCAGGUAGCUUUCACAACAUCAAAUAAAUAUGCUAUUGCUACAAAAUUGUUCCUUAGAUACUAUAAUUGACAUGAUGACUAAUGAGAUGGGUUUAUUCUCACAGCUUCACAUACUCAAUUUACAGUGUCGGAAAGUUAUUUUUUCUGCCAUCCGUAGACCUAGAAGGAACCAGAAAAAUCCCUCUUGGAAAACACUAUCUCUGCCGCUUCUCUAAUUAACCUUCAAAAAUGCAUUUUGAAAUAUAGAAGUUGGUGCCUGGCAUAGAAAUUGGAUUGUCUCAGGAAAAAAAGACCCAAGUGCUAAUUUGUUCCUUAUUAAAUAUCUGCCAUGUCAAAAUUACAGGCAGUUAAUGUUUUGGCGCCUUUCAGCAGGGCUAGGGACAGCUUUUCCUGAGGGCCAGGCACAGUGGGGUGGUUCUGGGUACCAUUUACCCCAGAAAACAGUGUUGUCCUCGUUGACUGCACCCAAGCUCAAGACUCCCUGUCACUCUCCCCUCAACCCCCAGUCCAGCCAGGUCCCUGCAGGGGUCAGAUCCCCUGGUCUCUAAGGGAAGGAGGGAAUAUAACAGGACAGACGGAGAAUCCUCAUUAAAAUCUGUCACUUUGGGGGAUGCGUCGCCCUCCUCACCUUCUCAUUCCAGGCUUCAGGAGCUUCCAGAAGACAAAAGAACAUUUCACGGGGAAAAAGAGCUAAAUUAACUCUGGACCCCUAAAAGUGAUUCAAAUUGUUUUGGAAACCUAGAAUGGUAGUACUCUCAUUAUUUUGAAAACCUAGGACAGUUUAAUCUCUCUCUAUUGUCCAGUAAAUUCCCAGGGAGGAUAUUCUUCUAGCCAGUAUUCCUUUUUCAAAAGCAAAUGAAAGAUAUAUGCGGUUUCCCAUGUUUAAUCAGUGGAACUGAAUUCAGGGACUGUUGGUUUGUUACACCUGCAUUCGAAACCCUGCUCCGCCGUGUAGUGACCAUGAUACUCUGAGCCCCUUUGUCCUCGUCUGAUAAGCAAGAAAGUAAUAAUAAUACUGAUUUUCCAGAGAUGCUGUAGGACUCUGAUAACUGAGUGAAGAAUGUGUAAAUAUAAAAGCGGGAUAUCACAGGUUCUUAGCAUUAUUCACAAUAGCCAAGGGACGGAAGCCACAAAGUGUCCACUGAUGGAUGAAUGGAUGAACAAAAUGUGGUGUCCAGACAGUGGCCUUAACAGGAAGGGAAUUCUGACACCUGCUGUGCCAUGGAUGAAUCCUGAGGCCCCUCUGUUGAGUGAAAUGAGCCAGCCACAAAAGGACAAGCGCUCUACGAUGCCCCUCGUGUGAAAGACCCAGUAGUCAAAAUGCAGGACCGACCCUCACAGGGGUGAACAACUGGCUGAGCAUAAAGCCUGGGACCAGGGGCAGGGGCUGGAAAAAGUUUGCUUUGUUCUCUUCCGAAUCCCAAAGCGGUAAGAUGAAAGCCAGAGGCCCGGAGGGCAGAAUCCCUCAGUGUCCAAGCUGAGUGUCCUCAUGGCCGAUGAAAUGUCCACAGAGCGUCCUCAGAGCCACACAUUUUCCUCUUCCCAUUUUGAAUCUGGGAAGAAUCCCCAGAUUUUUCAUUGCCCCUGAUUGUUUUUUAAUCAACGUUCCCCAAACUGUUUCCUCUGACUCUGCGAUUGACAGCCUCGCAUCGGGCUCAAGCCACCAGCUGGGCCCAGGCACAGAUGCUCUGAGUUUCUGUUGACUGAGUGGAAAUCACUGAACCUUUUGUGUGAACCUGCCUAAGGACCCAGACCAGACAGUGGAGUGGGGACCAGACGACUGUAAAUUCUCUGCAGGAUUAGCCCAUUUCUGAUGUUUUCACAGAGCCUGUGACUUGUUGCCACAAGUGCCUUUCACUAAAUCACUGCGUCCCAGGGCUGGGGGAAGAAUCGGCCCCAGGAUCCAGGGGGAGUUUUCCAAGGAGGAGAUCACACACACCAGCCUUUCUUCCCCCUUUGCUUCCCUUCCCUCCUUGCCGCCUCCCUGUUCUAGUAAAACAGCAUUAAAGCAUUAAGGGUCCCUAAUGGAGUCUUGGGUACCCUUGAAAAGGUUGAGGAGGGGAAGCCAGCAUCAGCACCCCAAAAUGAGUGAUGCCACCCAAAGGGCAUGCUGGAUGGUUGGUCCAAAGGGUUUAAUUUUCCACGACAUCAUUUUUGCCUGGCUUUUCUCUAGAGAUGCAGUGUGUCCCAUCCUUCUUGCGAAAUUUCUUUUCAUCACUGCACUGCCUUUCCUAUAAGGCCCGUGUCUUGAUAUCACAGAAAUGAUCUCCCACACGAACACUCUUCCUGCUUUGAAUCCCUGCUUUGGUGCCGUGAUGUCUCGUGUUGCCAUGGAUGGACACGUACGAGCUGGUGAGGAGGUGGGAAUGAACUCUCCACUUAGGUUUGUAGAAAGCCUUCUCAGUAUCGUCCUCAGGACCCCACAACCAGGGUGCUUCCUUCUGUACAGAUCCCAGGCUCUUGAAGAAAAUAUCCUGUCAACCCUGCUAGCAAGGUUCCCCACAACUACCUUGGAUCGCCUCAUUUCUCGUUCCCUUUGCCCAUCACGUGACUUCUUUUCCUUUAUAAUUUAGUGUGGGGAAUCAUCCCCCUGGAAGUGAGCAGAAGGCAGAAAACAAGGGUUGGGCUUGAUUUAAUGCUCUACUCUCGCCAUCUUGAAAUUAUGAAAAAUUUCCAAACAGCGGGCGCCACAGAUUAUGUAGCUGGUCCUGGAGACGGCAAACAUUUGCUGAUCACUUAGUACUUUCUAGGCUAGUGAUUCCCAAACUUGACGGCACAUCUGAAUCACUUGAUGGGGCCUUUAAAAUCUUGCUGCCCAGGCCACACCCCAGACUGAUGAAAUCGGAAUGUCUGGACAUCAGUAUUUUAUAAAGGCCCCCGGGUGUCGUGACUCCAUAUCCCAGCCACUCUUAAGAGAAGAGGUAUUCUUACUCACCUGGUGCAGGUGAGGAAAUGGAGGCCCAGUGAAGCUGAAUGGUGUACCCAAGCUCCCACCCUAUGCUGGGGGGUAUCCUUGAACUCAGUCUAAUCUGACUCUAAACCCCAGUUCUUUCCGUUCAACCACAUGACUUAAGCCUGCUCUGCUCUUGGUCAUUUGUAAGUUCUACUGGCUUCUGAAUAAAAGCCCUUUCUACUAUUAGGAAGUUCGUCCUAAACAUUUCCUCGCUUUGGGCCAGAAAAGGGGAGAAUUUUGCAUAACUGUUCACACACAUUCAGAACGCUAUGCAGGACGCGCAGGCAGACAUCCAGAAACAUCCCACGGCUAGCCAAGCCACGACCACCUGGAGUCAGUUCUGCUCUGAGGAGGAAACAUUUCUGACCAUUCCCCCGUUGAAGCCUGCCCCCUCCCUUGGGCAAGGGCACCUCCUUUCAGAGAAAGCCUUCAGGCCUCCGUGAGAACACAUUUGCCCUUCAUGGGGUUCAGCCUUUCACCCCAUCCCUCCUUGUCGGUACAUUCAAAGUCCCUGAAAUCUGCAGGGCAUCAGAGAACCGACUUUGUUCCUGUGCAAGCACUGCCUGAAUGUGCUUUCUUUCAUUUUUGCCUUUUUUCCUGCCUGAGGGAUUUUGUACAAGCUCUCAGAGUCUCCUUCCCUCUGAGUUCAUAUGCUCUGCACCCUCUUUUCUAUUUCUGGCCUGACCCUUCCCCACAGCUGGGCCCAGCCAGUCCAGGGAUGGCUGAAUGAGCAGGCAGGCUGGGGUGGCUCCUCGUGCCACAGACGGUGGCCUCAGAUGGAGCUGCCCUCUUCCUGCUAUCCAGCACCUGCACCUGGCCUCAGGAAGCAGAAAAGACGCGGGGAAACCUCCUCACCCACAGAGACCGGCUUUCCGGAAGGCACCAGCAGGCCCAUGAGACAACCUGGCACCCCCAUGUGUGGCUUGGAAGCUGCCUGCGCCCCUGUAGCCCGAGGGUGUGUUUCUAGGCGCUCAGCUGGGCUGUUUUCCCUCUUUUCCUCUCUGCUUUGGCCUGACAUGCUGAGCGGUUGGGUUGCUUCAGGCCUAAGUAAGCUUGUGCUUGUCUUUUGUACCCCUAAAUGGGCAUGGUGGACCCCGUGCCACCCUCAGACCCUGAAAAGAAGGACACUUGAGGGAGGCAGGGGGGCUUCAGAGGGCGUGAGGAUUUCAGGUGGAAGGAUCUGACAGCUGUGCAAAGGAAGUCAAUUGUUCAAAGCAGGCUUCCUCGGGGUUAAUUAGAGUAUUUGGGAAAAGAAUCUAAAUUAAACAGGUGCUCGGGGCUUAUUUGCCUUCCCUACAGUAAUUGGCUUUUAUGCGGGAUAGAAAGCUUUACCAUCUAACAAAGAUGUAGCCCAGAAAAGUCUUUGCCCAGACAGCUAGUUUUCAGAGGUGAGGGACAUUUGGCCGGGCGGGGAUCAUCAGCAGGGUAUGGGUGCCAGGAGGACAAGGCUCUUCCCCACCCCCUGGGCUCCAGCCCUUGACUGGCUCUUCCUGACCAGUCUAAAGCAAACAAGUCUUUUUUAUGGAGCAGACCUUCACGAGCCAGCUUUCUUCCUCCCCGUCUGUGGACAGGACCCUAGUAUGUGGGAUGGUGACGCUGGCCUUGGUGGAGCAGCAACUCCCACUUGGGAGCCACGAAGAGCACAUCAGUACAUCCCAUCACAAUUUAACGAAAAUGCGCUCAUUUCAGUGUCUCUGAAAGAUUGUACAAGGCCGGGCGAAUAGAAUCAAUGAGCACAGUGGUGUCACAUUCAAAGGAGCCUGACACGUUCUCUGGCGACGUCCCCAUUGGGGACAAGCGAGUGGACGAUGGUCUGGGGUGUUAAUAUUCCCGUAGGUCGCUUUCAUAGUCAGAAUCAGCCAUCUUGCAUCCUUCGCAGACACGCUGGUGUCUUAUUAGAAAUGCAGUGGAUAGAAUUUAAUGCAAUUGAAAAGAAACCCAGCAGACUCUAAUCUAAAGAAUGUCAUUUCAGGAAAAUAGCAGCGACUUACAAUUUACUGCCCCUAAAUUGGAAAAUCACUUUUAGAACAUCGUAAACUUUUAAUUGCAUGCAGCAUGGAAACAGACUUAAAACAGAAAGGCGGGGAAAGAGGAGCUCACGUGUACGGAACACCUUCCAUUGAAGGCCAGUCAGUCACAGCGUUUCAUUCCAUCUGAACAGCAGCCACAUGACACUAGAGUGACUUUCUCCGAGUUAGAAAUGACGAAAUGGAGGCCCAGCAAAGAAACGUGUCUUGCCCAAGGUCACGGGGUAGAAAGUUGCAGAGUUUGGAUUUGAAAUCAGGCCCGUUUGGCCCCAACGCCUAAGUAUCUUUGAAUCUCCCGUAAAACGUAUGCACGGAAAUGCUUUCUUUCUUCCGCAGAUCGACUCCAACAACCGUCACGUAGGGGUUCCAGAAAUCGGCGGCCUGAUUCUGCUUCUCUGUGCUUUUGAUCUACUUGUGGCACGUGAGACAUUGUGCGCAACGCCAUGAGAGACAGGGCAAAGAAGGCAUGGGAAGGUUCCGCUGACUUCUUUCUAAAUUGCAUUCGGGAAGACGUCACCUUUGUCAGCUCUUCUUGCAAUAUAUUUAGAAAGUGGGUUCGAAUACGUCCGGGUGUUCUCCCCGAAGGCACACACCCCUGCUCUGUGAAGUCCAGAACUGAGAAGGUUCCAGAAAGUGUGGUCCAAAGCAGGCAACCAGUCAGGCUGAGGAAACCACGAAAGCCCUCUCCUUAGACAGGAGGGUAACCAGAGCUGUACUCGGACUCCACAGUUUAUUUUUCCCAUGCGGACAAGGGACGAAAGCCACUUUGCAGAACAAUGCUUCCGAGGCAUUUUAUUUGCAACACGAUCCUUUGCAAGAGGUGAGCUAAGAAGCAGGGUCAGCUCACACAGGGACUUCUCUCCCCUUGGCUGGCCCACCUAGCAGCAUCAGGCCGCAUCUCCAGGAGGGAGCGGGGGAAGCCCCCAGUCCUUCAUGGGCACAGUAGGUUCCGCCUUAUUCUGGUACAAAGAUGCGUGUUUGCCGCAGGUAACCUCACACCACCCGGCACACGGCCGCUGAGUUGCACGGCGACGUAUGAACCCAAGUGACGCCUUAAUGUAUCAUGUUAAAUCACAUCCCACAGCUUCUUGGAUCCGAGAGAAAGUGACUGGGCCAGAGGGAGCUGCCACAUCUCUUUCUUCCAUUCUCUUUUACCUUCUAAUUAAUUUUUCUAAUGGGUCCUUGAUGUAAUAAACCAUUUAUCAUGUGCACCUUCUUCUGAGGCUUUUCUCCUUCCAAGUUAUUAACAUGUCCAGGGCUUUCCUAGGGAAAGUGUCUAGGCCUUGGCUGCCUGCUGUCCCCAGGAGAAUGCCAGGUACGUGUCAUGGCUAUCCGUACCGUGUGCACAGAUAGCGCUCCGUGCCAGGCCACCGUUGAUUCAGUGAUUGUACUUUUUAUCCGGCAAUGGCCCUGAAUGGAGACAGAGCCAGGAAACAGAGCUUCAUCUCGUGAGGCUCUGUGGAGAGAGCCAGCUCUAGAAGUCGCUGGCCCAGCUGACGCACAGCUGAGAGCCUUAGCAGGAGCACCAGGGCCUGAAUGGGGAGGGGACGAGUCUAUUAAGGGAGGCAGCUGCCAGAGGAGACGGAAUCACAGAGGGGUGUCCUCCUGAGAGCCAAUGAGGGCCUGGAAAUGAUCCUAUGACUUCAACUUACUCUGAUCUGAUCUUCUUCCAUAAAAACUGCUUGGAAAAAGCCCAAUUGUCAUACAACGCGCUCCUUUUCACACCUAACACUGCUAGUGUCUACACCUAUUGAGCAUUUACUGCAAGUGAACGACUAUAUAUACACCAUCUCAUCCGAUCCUCACCAGUGCAAAGGGGUGGGCAAUAGCCUGUGUGACAGAGAAGAGAGAGAUUUGCCUAGGCCACAAAACGAAGGUAGGAAACUUGAGACUUGAGCCUGGGUCUCCCUGUCCCCAAGCUAACUGAUCCUCAUGCUAGACACACGCCUGCAGUUACGCCCUUGGGGCUUUGGCCUUUGUGAUAAAAUUCUAAGCGGAGUCUCAGGCAAAGAAAACAUCCAGCCCCCACUGUAUUUGCUGCCUAACCUCGAAAGGUGCCGGCCAUUAAAGCUAGAUUGAACCC
Long non-coding RNA from Neofelis nebulosa (Clouded leopard), 10969 nucleotides. RefSeq lists it as uncharacterized. NCBI's taxonomy places the organism in Eukaryota, Metazoa, Chordata, Mammalia, Carnivora, Felidae. The transcript is spliced from 5 exons. The record is from RefSeq and is a predicted model, not a curated record.